Molecule: long non-coding RNA, 3371 nt
Filed under: Canis lupus familiaris (dog)
Lineage: Eukaryota; Metazoa; Chordata; Mammalia; Carnivora; Canidae
Description: lncRNA (ENSCAFG00845019611.1)
Source: RNAcentral
GAGUGUCCUGCCUGUCUUGCAAAACUUACUUGGCUUAAGCAUAUUUUUGAUUGAAAAACAUCAGUGCUGCUCUAUUUUCUGAGACCGAGGAGCAACAUUCCACAACCAGGGCCACAUGUCAAGAGUGGAGUUUGUGACUAACCCUCUCAGCAUUGCCCCUUCUGUUCGCAGGCACCACUUCUAUGAACCAGUGGGAGGAAGCAGGAACACAUUGUUCCCAUUUCACUGUAGCUUGAGAAGAGAGAAAAGAGGCAAAUGAGGGGUUUAGACUGAAUUAAUUAAGCCCAACACAUUUCUGUGGAAAAUUUAAAGGUGUGAAUGUUUGAGAAGUUUAGAUGAACAUUUUAGAUUCACACCCCCAUCUCCACCUGUUGAAAUAUUUCUCCUUUUAGGCUUCUCUCCAAAGCUACUUUUCCCUGAAGACUUCCUGGAUUCCCAUAAAAUGGGGUUCAGCCGCCCCUAAUGCCCGUGGCCAUUUUGUGGGAGGGAAUCCUGCUUAAAACACUGCUUUGCCCAAGGACUGUGAUUGGACUUGAUCAAGACUCUUGACUGCAGAAGAAGUCUACGAAUACGAUUUAAUUGUAAAUCAUGGCUAAAGAACUUGCCAGCAGACACUUGGCCUGCCAAUGGUAGCACUGGAUGUGCGGUGCUGGCUUGGGACAGGUGAUGAAGGAUGGGGCUCGCAUUUCAACAUCGGUCUCCAGCAGAUUCACCAGGCACUGUAAGCCACACAAGAGGAAAAAGUAGAGAAACUUCUCAAGGAGGGCAUUCAGUUUCACCCAGACAAUAUUGGCUUCCUGGGACCAUGCUGCCCAAGACGGAUGGACCCACGGAAGCAGAUGAUGCCUCUUGAGUUAUUCAGUGAAGUACUUGUAUGCUGUCAUUUAAACCUAUGUUUCAUCAACCAGUACAAGCCAUAUGGCCAAAGCCAGCACCAAUGAUGUAGAAGAGCUCUGCCUACUAUAGUUGGUGUUACUAAAAAGUCACAUGACAAAGUAAGUGGCUAUAUAAUUCUAUGAUUGAGUGGGCAUAAGAAUGGACGACAACAAUUUCUCCUACCACAGUCCAUCUACUCUUUGAUCUAUUUUUUUUACAUGCAAAAUACACUUACUCUUACAGAAGGCAUGCCAAAGUCUCAUCCAUUUAUGACAUCUGGGAUUUCAUUUAUAUUCAUUUUGCAUUUGGUUGCUCUUGACUGAGAGAACAGUGAAUUUAAAGACAAUUAUUUCCCCUUACUCACCUGGCAUGCAGUGAUGGAACAGAGACAGGUUAAUUUACACAAGUAUAUGCAUUCAGAAUGGGGAUGAAGAGAAGGUACAUGACUGUCAUUGAUUCGUAGCAAUACUCAAAUCCUGUGGGCAAUAUUGCCUGGCUUCUUUACCCUGGGAGUAGAGUAUUUGCCUUUAUUAGCCUGCACUUUACUCCCUGGGAAUGGAUUCCCAUUUUGUUGUUCUCUAUGGCUCUUGACUCUACUCUCUGGAAAGUUCUUUCUUGAUCAUCAUGUUCCUUAGCCACUUCUGAAGCAGAAAUGAAGAACAUGCUACCUCAGUCUGCUUCCUGCCAGUAGAACGUUGGAGAAAACAAACUCUUAUAUUUUAAAUGGUUAUAGAAUUAAGCCUGGCUGACAGCGCUUUUGGCAAUUCAUUAACUUCUAAAAAGGACACAGAAUACAGAAACCUACACUUAUCACAAUGUAAUAAUGCUAGUACAUAAUUAAAAUAAAGACUGAAAUGAAAAAGCCUCUAUUGGUUGGAAAUUUAAAAAUUCCCUCUUAAAAGAACGUCUAGCUAUUAUAUGUCAGAACCUAGGGCUUCCAUUAAAGGAGUCACAGUAGAUCCUUUCAUUUGCAUAAAACGGCUCCUAAAGUCUGUGGAUAUUAUCUUUGCUUUUCCCAAAGUACAUAUAAUUAAUUCUGGGGAGAGAAGGAUAUCUGAAAAAGAAAUAUGAGCCUGGCUAACAACACAAUAGGGAUCAAAUAUUUAGAAAACUCAUGAAGUUUUAGAGAGACUUGGAUUAUGGUUAAUGUUCUAUGAACAUUUGUUCCAUGUUUUUUGGUGUAUAAAUAUUAAAAACUGCUGUAUCUUCUGUUCAGAGUGCCUGCCUUAUUCUCAGUGAGUGCUAAUUGCCCCCAAAUCCUAUCUUGUUUAAAACUGUAAAAAUUAAAAUGGUGACCCGCUCCUCUUCUUCCACCUUUUCAUCUUCAUGGUCCUUUGCUUAUUGUUGAAUACGUAUUCCUACUUGGCUCUGCCUUUGGCCACAUUUCCUUCUAUUUGAUGGUGUAGUUUUCUCUUGCCUGGUUUCAUUACAAAUGGAGUGUGAAUUUUUUUUCUCUCUUAUUCUUCCUGUGGCUUUCCAGUGAUUCCCAAGAAGAUAAGAAAAUAUUUUGACUUUACUCUCUUUAAACUGGAAGUUCAACUUUGGAAUUGUAAAGACAGAUGGGCUUUAUGACAACCUUUUGCAAUGUACUGAUGAUAGUUUUGAUUAACUAAGACAAUUUCAAGGGCAGUAUAAUGACCAAUAUUUUGAUCUUACUGAGAAAGAAAGAGGGCAUUAAAAUAAUUAUUUCUGGAUGUGUUGUCUAAAAAACUAUCAGAUAAUCUCAAAAUUGCAUAUGGAAUAUCUCCAAAGAAGUUUUUCUGACAUCCUUAACAAUGCUUCAAAUGUUCAUUCCUCAUGUGAUUUUUAAAAGGCAUUAUAUAAAAGGAAAAUAAUAUAAAUAACACGUGGAAGAAAUUCCAUGCUACUGAAGUAAACUGAAGCCAAUUUAAUGUGAAUGAAUUCUGGUUUGCCUUGUAUAAUCAACCUUAGAUAGAACUUGAAAGUUUUAUACCAGGAAUGUUAAUUUACACCAUGAAUGCUAGUUGAUUAAGUGAGAAGUUUGUGGUAAUUUUUUAUAGAAGUUUGGGUAUUAAAUUUUCAUCAAGAAUUACUUCCUUGAUUAAACUAUUGUUAUUAAGGAGGAAAUAAGAUUGGACCUGAGUCAUUUUGAAUCCAGGCAUGUAACUCUGUAAAAACAUAAACACUUCCUUUAUUUGAUGCUGUUCCAUUAAAAUAAUUUUUGUGCUGGACAAAGAGAAUGAUAUUGAAAGAGUAUUUUAUUUUAUAUAUUUUUAUUUUUUAAAAAAGUUUAUUUAUUUAUUUGAGAGAGAGACAAAGAGAGUGAACAAGUGGAGGGGCAGAGGGAGAGGGAAGCAAACAGACUCCCACUGAGCACAGAGCCUAUGUGGUGCUGGAUCCUAGGACCCUGAGAUCAGGACCUGAGCCAAAAUCAAGAGUCAGAUGCUGAACCGACUGAGCCACCCAGGUACCUCAAUAAUUUUUAUCUUAAAAUAUUUUGAUGCUUACCUAGAGUUUUGGAGUGUAGGUUUUCA